Molecule: ribosomal RNA, 424 nt
Filed under: uncultured prokaryote
Description: bacterial SSU rRNA
Rfam family: Bacterial small subunit ribosomal RNA
Source: RNAcentral
UCGAGAAUCUUCGGCAAUGGGGGAAACCCUGACCGAGCGACGCCGCGUGUGAGAUGAAGGCCUUCGGGUUGUAAAUCACUGUCAGAGGGGAGGAAAUGUCGGUGGGUUCUCCCACCGAUUUGACCUAUCCUCAGAGGAAGGACGGGCUAAGUUCGUGCCAGCAGCCGCGGUAAUACGGACCGUCCAAACGUUGUUCGGAAUCACUGGGCUUAAAGGGUGCGUAGGCGGUCCGGGAAGUUGGGUGUGAAAGCCCUCGGCUCAACCGAGGAACUGCGCCCAAAACUGCCGGGCUAGAGGGAGACAUAGGUGAGCGGAACUUAGGGUGGAGCGGUGAAAUGCGUUGAGAUCGGGAGGAAUAUCAGUGGCGAAGGCGCCCAUCUGGACGGUAACUGACGCUGAGACGCGAAAGCGUGGGGAGCAAACA